Molecule: ribosomal RNA, 377 nt
Filed under: uncultured bacterium
Lineage: Bacteria
Description: bacterial SSU rRNA
Rfam family: Bacterial small subunit ribosomal RNA
Source: RNAcentral
UAAGACAGAGGUGCCGAGCGUUAGGCGGAAUCACUGGGCUUAAAGCGUGUGUAGGCGGAUCGUUAAGUAUCUUGUGAAAUCCCACGGCUCAACCGUGGAACUGCUGGGUAUACUGGCGAUCUUGAGCAACCUAGGGGCAGACGGAACAAGUGGUGGAGCGGUGAAAUGCGUAGAUAUCACUUGGAACGCCGACGGUGAAAACAGUCUGCUGGGGGUUUGCUGACGCUGAGACACGAAAGCCAGGGGAGCGAACGGGAUUAGAUACCCCGGUAGUCCUGGCCCUAAACGAUGUCGACUAGGUCGUGGUGCCUCUGACGGUAUCGCGGCCGAAGCAAAAGUGCUAAGUCGACCGCCUGGGAAGUACGGUCGCAAGGCUA